GACGAACGCUGGCGGCGUGCUUAACACAUGCAAGUCGAACGGAAAGGCCCUGCUUUUGUGGGGUGCUCGAGUGGCGAACGGGUGAGUAACACGUGAGUAACCUGCCCUUGACUUUGGGAUAACUUCAGGAAACUGGGGCUAAUACCGGAUAGGAGCUCCUGCUGCAUGGUGGUGGUUGGAAAGUUUCGGCGGUUGGGGAUGGACUCGCGGCUUAUCAGCUGGUUGGUGGGGUAGUGGCUUACCAAGGCUUUGACGGGUAGCCGGCCUGAGAGGGUGACCGGCCACAUUGGGACUGAGAUACGGACCAGACUCCUACGGGAGGCAGCAGUGGGGAAUAUUGCACAAUGGGCGGAAGCCUGAUGCAGCAACGCCGCGUGCGGGAUGACGGCCUUCGGGUUGUAAACCGCUUUCGCCUGUGACGAAGCGUGAGUGACGGUAAUGGGUAAAGAAGCACCGGCUAACUACGUG
This 468-nucleotide ribosomal RNA is filed under the name uncultured bacterium. Its description in RNAcentral is "partial 16S ribosomal RNA". It matches the Rfam family "Bacterial small subunit ribosomal RNA", at positions 28 to 507 of the family's 1533-position model. The record is from RNAcentral.